AGGGAUGUAGCUCAGUGGUAGAGUACUUGCUUGUUAAGCAUAAGACCAUGGGUUCAAUCCCCAAGUACCUG
RNAcentral lists this transfer RNA (71 nucleotides) under Cavia porcellus (domestic guinea pig). It matches the Rfam family "tRNA". Rfam says of the family: Transfer RNA (tRNA) molecules are approximately 80 nucleotides in length. Their secondary structure includes four short double-helical elements and three loops (D, anti-codon, and T loops). The record is from Rfam by way of RNAcentral. Lineage: Eukaryota; Metazoa; Chordata; Mammalia; Rodentia; Caviidae.